Molecule: ribosomal RNA, 75 nt
Filed under: Lactobacillus apis
Lineage: Bacteria; Bacillati; Bacillota; Bacilli; Lactobacillales; Lactobacillaceae
Description: partial 16S rRNA. Bacterial SSU
Rfam family: Bacterial small subunit ribosomal RNA
Source: RNAcentral
UUAAAAAUGAGAGUUUGAUCCUGGCUCAGGACGAACGCUGGCGGCGUGCCUAAUACAUGCAAGUCGAGCGAGCAA